AUGUGCAUCGUUGAUCAGGAUGGUGUGUACGUGCAUGUUCAAGCUGAUCAAAGAUGCCUUCUACGUUUGCAUCUUGCCGGACAAACCCCGUGCAGGACCACAUCAAGAUUGAAUCAAGCCAUCCUGCUUCGCCGCAGUUCAGAAGUUAAACAGUUCAAAGAAAGCAAUCUAUCUUACCUGUGUGUAUGUAGGUAUAUAUUAGCACAUCUCGCUGGAAUCGAUCAACCUACUUGUGAAGUCAUAUGGGUUAUUACAUGUACGUGUGUCAUUCUUUGCAGACUGGAAUUUCCUGGCCGUCAUGCUUCGCUCUUACUCUCUCCACAAGUCCCGUCCCACUCUUUCCUGCUUUACUACUGCUACUAA
Molecule: ribosomal RNA, 363 nt
Filed under: Triticum aestivum (bread wheat)
Lineage: Eukaryota; Viridiplantae; Streptophyta; Magnoliopsida; Poales; Poaceae
Description: partial small subunit ribosomal RNA
Source: RNAcentral